AGUGAACGCUGGCGGUAGGCCUAACACAUGCAAGUCGAACGGCAGCACAGUAAGAGCUUGCUCUUACGGGUGGCGAGUGGCGGACGGGUGAGGAAUACAUCGGAAUCUACUUUUUCGUGGGGGAUAACGUGGGGAAACUUACGCUAAUACCGCAUACGACCUACGGGUGAAAGCAGGGGAUCUUCGGACCUUGCGCGAUUGAAUGAGCCGAUGUCGGAUUAGCUAGUUGGCGGGGUAAAGGCCCACCAAGGCGACGAUCCGUAGCUGGUCUGAGAGGAUGAUCAGCCACACUGGAACUGAGACACGGUCCAGACUCCUACGGGAGGCAGCAGUGGGGAAUAUUGGACAAUGGGCGCAAGCCUGAUCCAGCCAUACCGCGUGGGUAAAGAAGGCCUUCGGGUUGUAAAGCCCUUUUGUUGGGAAAGAAAAGCAGCAGGUUAAUACCCCGCUGUUCUGACGGUACCCAAAGAAUAAGCACCGGCUAACUUCGUG
This 492-nucleotide ribosomal RNA is filed under the name uncultured bacterium. RNAcentral's name for it is "partial 16S ribosomal RNA". It matches the Rfam family "Bacterial small subunit ribosomal RNA", at positions 29 to 507 of the family's 1533-position model. The record is from RNAcentral.